Molecule: ribosomal RNA, 253 nt
Filed under: uncultured bacterium
Lineage: Bacteria
Description: partial 16S ribosomal RNA
Rfam family: Bacterial small subunit ribosomal RNA
Source: RNAcentral
UACGUAGGGUGCGAGCGUUAAUCGGAAUUACUGGGCGUAAAGCGUGCGCAGGCGGUUAUGCAAGUCAGAUGUGAAAUCCCCGGGCUCAACCUGGGAACUGCAUUUGUGACUGCAUGGCUAGAGUGCGGCAGAGGGGGAUGGAAUUCCGCGUGUAGCAGUGAAAUGCGUAGAUAUGCGGAGGAACACCGAUGGCGAAGGCAAUCCCCUGGGCCUGCACUGACGCUCAUGCACGAAAGCGUGGGGAGCAAACAGG